Molecule: ribosomal RNA, 434 nt
Filed under: uncultured Lachnospiraceae bacterium
Lineage: Bacteria; Bacillati; Bacillota; Clostridia; Lachnospirales; Lachnospiraceae
Description: partial 16S ribosomal RNA
Rfam family: Bacterial small subunit ribosomal RNA
Source: RNAcentral
ACGGAAGGCAGCAGUGGGGGAUAUUGCACAAUGGGGGAAACCCUGAUGCAGCGACGCCGCGUGAGUGAAGAAGUAUUUCGGUAUGUAAAGCUCUAUCAGCAGGGAAGAUAAUGACGGUACCUGACUAAGAAGCCCCGGCUAACUACGUGCCAGCAGCCGCGGUAAUACGUAGGGGGCAAGCGUUAUCCGGAUUUACUGGGUGUAAAGGGAGCGCAGGUGGUUCGGCAAGUCAGAAGUGAAAAUCCGGGGCUCAACCCCGGAACUGCUUUUGAAACUGUCGGACUUGAGUGCUGGAGAGGUAAGUGGAAUUCCUAGUGUAGCGGUGAAAUGCGUAGAUAUUAGGAGGAACACCAGUGGCGAAGGCGGCUUACUGGACAGCAACUGACACUGAGGCUCGAAAGCGUGGGGGGCAAACAGGAUUAGAUACCCUGGUA